UGGGGAAUAUNUGCGCAAUGGGGGGAACCCUGACGCAGCCAUGCCGCGUGAAUGAAGAAGGCCUUAGGGUUGUAAAGUUCUUUCGGUAUUGAGGAAGGUUGAUGUGAUAAUAGCACAUCAAAUUGACGUUAAAUACAGAAGAAGCACCGGCUAACUCCGUGCCAGCAGCCGCGGUAAUACGGAGGGUGCGAGCGUUAAUCGGAAUAACUGGGCGUAAAGGGCACGCAGGCGGUUAUUUAAGUGAGGUGUGAAAGCCCUGGGCUUAACCUAGGAAUUGCAUUUCAGACUGGGUAACUAGAGUACUUUAGGGAGGGGUAGAAUUCCACGUGUAGCGGUGAAAUGCGUAGAGAUGUGGAGGAAUACCGAAGGCGAAGGCAGCCCCUUGGGAAUGUACUGACGCUCAUGUGCGAAAGCGUGGGGAGCAAACAGGAUUAGAUACCCUGGUAGUCCACGCUGUAAACGCUGUCGAUUUGGGGGUUGGGGUUUAACUUUGGCGCCCGUAGCUAACGUGAUAAAUCGACCGCCUGGGGAGUACGGCCGCAAGGUUA
This 548-nucleotide ribosomal RNA is filed under the name uncultured bacterium. RNAcentral's name for it is "bacterial SSU rRNA". It matches the Rfam family "Bacterial small subunit ribosomal RNA", at positions 355 to 896 of the family's 1533-position model. The record is from RNAcentral.